Non-coding RNA from Drosophila melanogaster (fruit fly), 1705 nucleotides. NCBI's taxonomy places the organism in Eukaryota, Metazoa, Arthropoda, Insecta, Diptera, Drosophilidae. The record is from Ensembl.
ACCUUAGAGCUAAAUUUCUUUGCAAACGCUGUGCGGCAUCCACAUCGCCGUCGGCGGGAGAUGGCGGAGCAUUUGGUCGCACUGGCGGGGAUGGAGGAGAAGCAGCUGCAGCCGCAGCUGGCGGGGCAUGCAGAUCACUCAAUCUUCCCGAGCGCGGUUGGUAAUUAUUGUUAUUAUUGUUCACAUUGCUGUUGUGCAGGAAUUGCUGCGCUUGCUGCAUGUGUUGAUUAAGAAUUGCUCUCCGGUUAGCCAAAUACUGUUCUUGAGGACCCAGUGCAGCUGCUGCACCUCCCACUCCAGGACGGAUGUUUCCUCCGCGAUUUUGGCCAGGUCCACCCAAUCCACCUCCACCUAGUCGACGAUCCGGAACUGGUAUCCGGUAUCCCCUUGGAGGUACAUUUUGAAGAGGAUUCGGCGGCGGAGGUCCACGGCCUCCAACGACGGGGACUCUGCUUUGCUUCAUCAUUUGGAAGUCCUGCGGCAUGUUGGGCGAUGGGCCCACGACCACCAGGUAGUUGUUGACCUUGCAACCGGGAUUGCACCACAUGUGGACGGCUCCAAAGCGCUUGUUGCGCACAGCAAUAGACUUCCAGCUCCAUACAUCCCUGGUCAUGUCCAGCAGCCAGGCAUCAGUGUACACGCGAUUGGCACCGCCACAUCCUCCCACGAUCAGCAGAUGGUUCCUUCCCAACUCCACCUGUAUUUGUCCGUAUCGCGGACUGGGUCGCGUGUUGCCCACAAAGAGCGGCUGCCACCAGCGCUGCUCCGGCAGAUCCAGUACCCAUGUGUCGUUCGAGUUCACAUUGAAAUCGUCUUUGAUCUGGUAACCACCAAAAACUACCAUCCGAUCGCCAUGUACCGUGGCCGAGUGUCCAGCCAUCGGUGGUGGGGAAGAUAGGGAGCUUCGCAGCAGCCAACGGUUCUUUCCAAGAUCGUAGUAGUGCAGCUCGUCAAAUAAGCACCAUGGUUGGUAGGGCGGAUGUAGCGAGGGGUAUCGCCAUCCGCCAAAGAGUAUCAGCUGGUUCCGCCACGCCACCAUUGAUGCACUGCCCUUGGGCGAGGGAUAGGUUCCUGUGGCCACUGGCCGCGCCCACCGCAUGUGCGUCAAAUCAAAGCGCCACAGAUCGUUGAAGGUGGUGUCCGACGAGGAUCCACCGCCGAAUACGUACAUGGAGUUGUCUUGCCGCACAGCCGAAUGAGCAAAUCUUCCGGCAAUAAAGGAUAAUAGUGCUCCUGCCCCGCCAUUGACUGUCUGCUGGGAAAACACCUCCCAGCGCAGUCGAAAGUCGAUGAGGCCCUUCUCGAGAUUGUGUCUGGAACGACGCACAAGAUGCCCACUCUUCACAAUGGCGUGCCAUCGCUUGCACACCAGGCUGCAGUGCUCCAAGUCGCCGUAGGGUGGCAGGUAGGUGAAUAUGAACUCCAGUAUCUCAUCGGGAAGGACAUUCAGAUUUACAGCGGCCAAGGUCGCCCCGCAAUUGUCGUUCUCGCCGUCGACCUUGUAUCUGCUCGCGUCCAUCCUUUGUGAUGUCCUUGCUGCCCCCUUUCUUCGUGGCUUUCGUGGUGUGCUUCACCCUCGGAUGCUGCACCACAGAAGCAGCAAUAGGCAGCGAAUGAUUUUAAGUCGCUGAACUUAUAUGCUGGCUUGAACUCCAGAUGAUUUUCGGGUUUUUAUACAACAAAAAUAAAUUAUAACAUAAACAGU